AGGACUUAAGGAAGCAUGACGUGAGACUGCCGGCGAUGACGAAGAGGAUGUCGACGGGGGACGGAGGUAAGGUGGACGCCGGACGAAGAGGAUGUUGGCGGGCGACGAAAGGAAGGUGGACGCCGGGGCCGGAGUGUACACCGGCAGGAGAGAGCUCCCUGUCGGAUGGGCGGUGGACGCCGGGACCGGAGUGGUCACCGGCGGGAGGGAGCCCUCAUGCCUCUCUCACUGCUCUCUGGGUCGGAAGGCCUUCCUUGGAAUCUUUUGAGUUGAUGACAUUCCUG
This 284-nucleotide long non-coding RNA is filed under the name Setaria viridis. Its description in RNAcentral is "long non-coding RNA (SVIR_LNC000160)". Lineage: Eukaryota; Viridiplantae; Streptophyta; Magnoliopsida; Poales; Poaceae. The record is from RNAcentral.